GUCUUUUUGAUUAUAAUUUAAAGUCUGACCUGCCCAAUGAGUAUUUGAAUGGCCGCGGUAAUUUGACCGUGCAAAGGUAGCAUAAUCAUUAGUUUUUUAAUUGAAAGCUGGAAUGAAUGGUUGGACGAGAAAAUAACUGUCUCAAUUUAAUUGUAUAUAGAAUUUUAUUUAUAAGUAAAAAAGCUUAUAUGAUUUUAAAAGACGAGAAGACCCUAUAGAGUUUUACAUUUUAUUAUAUUAAUUAAUUUUAGAAUGUUUAUGUUUUUAAUAUAGUAAAAUGUUUUGCUGGGGCAGCAGAAAAAUUAAAUAAACUUUUUUUAUUAUUAUUACAUUGAUUUAUGAUUUAAUGAUCCAUUUUUUAUGAUUAUAAGAUUAAAUUACCUUAGGGAUAACAGCGUAAUUUUUUUUUAGAGUUCUUAUCGAAAAAAGAGUUUGCGACCUCGAUGUUGGAUUAAAAUUAACUUUUGGUGUAGGGGCUAAAAGGUUAGGUCUGUUCGACCUUUAAAAUUUUACA
RNAcentral lists this ribosomal RNA (514 nucleotides) under Callistethus schneideri. RNAcentral describes it as "partial 16S ribosomal RNA". It matches the Rfam family "Bacterial large subunit ribosomal RNA", at positions 1819 to 2600 of the family's 2925-position model. The record is from RNAcentral. Lineage: Eukaryota; Metazoa; Arthropoda; Insecta; Coleoptera; Scarabaeidae.